GAUCAUGGCUCAGGACGAACGCUGGCGGCGUGCUUAACACAUGCAAGUCGAACGGACAGACAGAGAGCUUGCUCUCUUGAAGUUAGUGGCGAACGGGUGAGUAACGCGUAAUCAACCUGCCCUUCAGAGGGGGAUAACAACGGGAAACCGUUGCUAAUACCGCGUACGAUUCAUAAGCGGCAUCGCUUGUGAAUGAAAGGUGGCCUCUAUGUAUAAGCUAUCGCUGAAGGAGGGGA
RNAcentral lists this ribosomal RNA (236 nucleotides) under uncultured bacterium. RNAcentral's name for it is "partial 16S ribosomal RNA". It matches the Rfam family "Bacterial small subunit ribosomal RNA", at positions 15 to 230 of the family's 1533-position model. The record is from RNAcentral.